Molecule: ribosomal RNA, 253 nt
Filed under: uncultured bacterium
Lineage: Bacteria
Description: partial 16S ribosomal RNA
Rfam family: Bacterial small subunit ribosomal RNA
Source: RNAcentral
UACAGAGGUCCCGAGCGUUGUUCGGAUUCACUGGGCGUAAAGGGUGCGCAGGUGGGUUUGCAAGUUCGAUGUGAAAGCCCCGGGCUUAACCCGGGAAAGACAUUGGAUACUGCAGAUCUGGAGGAUCGGAGGGGGGACUGGAAUUCUUGGUGUAGCAGUGAAAUGCGUAGAUAUCAAGAGGAACACCAGUGGCGAAGGCGAGUCCCUGGACGAUACCUGACACUGAGGCACGAAAGCCGGGGGAGCAAACAGG